GCUUAACGCGAAGAACCUUACCAAGGCUUGACAUAUACGAGAACGCUCUAGAGAUAGAGAACUCUUUGGACACUCGUAUACAGGUGGUGCAUGGUUGUCGUCAGCUCGUGUCGUGAGAUGUUGGGUUAAGUCCCGCAACGAGCGCAACCCUCGUCUACGUUGCCAGCGGUUCGGCCGGGAACUCAUAGGAGACUGCCGGGGUCAACUCGGAGGAAGGUGGGGAUGACGUCAAAUCAUCAUGCCCCUUAUGUCUUGGGCUUCACGCAUGCUACAAUGGCCGGUACAAAGGGCUGCAAUACCGCAAGGUGGAGCGAAUCCCAAAAAGCCGGUCUCAGUUCGGAUUGAGGUCUGCAACUCGACCUCAUGAAGUCGGAGUCGCUAGUAAUCGCAGAUCAGCAACGCUGCGGUGAAUACGUUCCCGGGUCUUGUACACACCG
Molecule: ribosomal RNA, 437 nt
Filed under: uncultured bacterium
Lineage: Bacteria
Description: bacterial SSU rRNA
Rfam family: Bacterial small subunit ribosomal RNA
Source: RNAcentral